UCCCUGGUGGCUCAGACUGUAAAGAAUCUGCCUGCAAUGCAGAAGACCCAGGUUCAAUCCCUGAGUUGGGAA
This 72-nucleotide transfer RNA is filed under the name Ovis aries (sheep). It matches the Rfam family "tRNA". From Rfam's summary of the family: Transfer RNA (tRNA) molecules are approximately 80 nucleotides in length. Lineage: Eukaryota; Metazoa; Chordata; Mammalia; Artiodactyla; Bovidae. The record is from Rfam by way of RNAcentral.